This 332-nucleotide ribosomal RNA is filed under the name uncultured bacterium. Its description in RNAcentral is "bacterial SSU rRNA". It matches the Rfam family "Bacterial small subunit ribosomal RNA", at positions 568 to 898 of the family's 1533-position model. The record is from RNAcentral.
CGUGCAGGCGGUCGGGUAAGUCAGAUGUGAAAGCCUUCUGCUUAACAGAAGAAGUGCAUUUGAAACUGCUCGGCUAGAGUACGGGAGAGGAGAGUGGAAUUCCCGGUGUAGAGGUGAAAUUCGUAGAUAUCGGGAGGAACACCAGUGGCGAAGGCGGCUCUCUGGUCCGAUACUGACGCUGAGACGCGAAAGCGUGGGGAGCAAACAGGAUUAGAUACCCUGGUAGUCCACGCCGUAAACGAUGGGCACUAGGUGUAGGAGGUAUUGACCCCUUCUGUGCCGAAGUUAACGCAUUAAGUGCCCCGCCUGGGGAGUACGGCCGCAAGGCUAAA